UACAGAGGGGGCAAGCGUUGUUCGGAAUUACUGGGCGUAAAGGGCUCGUAGGCGGCCAACUAAGUCAUACGUGAAAUCCCUCAGCUUAACUGGGGAACUGCGUGUGAUACUGGAUGGCUUGGAUUUGGGAGAGGGAUGCGGAAUUCCAGGUGUAGCGGUGAAAUGCGUAGAUAUCUGGAGGAACACCGGUGGCGAAGGCGGCAUCCUGGACCAUUACUGACGCUGAGGAGCGAAAGCCAGGGGAGCAAACGGG
Molecule: ribosomal RNA, 253 nt
Filed under: uncultured bacterium
Lineage: Bacteria
Description: partial 16S ribosomal RNA
Rfam family: Bacterial small subunit ribosomal RNA
Source: RNAcentral